Molecule: RNA transcript, 2829 nt
Organism: Megalobrama amblycephala (Wuchang bream)
Lineage: Eukaryota; Metazoa; Chordata; Actinopteri; Cypriniformes; Xenocyprididae
Gene: luc7l3
Gene name: LUC7-like 3 pre-mRNA splicing factor
Exons: 12
Source: RefSeq, a predicted model, not a curated record
UGGGUAACAUCCGCUGCGUGCUGUAGAUCUGCCAUUUUGUUGUCCAGAUCAGAGAGCAGGGGACGCGGUGUUCGUUACUCUGUAAAUGAAUAAUACGACUCUCUUAUAGUGGACCAGAAGUAGAGGCGAGGCACGAUGCUUUCCGCAGCCCAGUUACUCGAUGAGUUAAUGGGUCGGGACCGGAACUUGGCUCCGGAUGAGAAGCGCUGUAAUGUUCGCUGGGAUGACGAGACUGUCUGCAAAUAUUACCUGUGUGGCUUUUGCCCUGCUGAACUCUUCACAAACACACGGUCAGACUUGGGUCCUUGUGAAAAAAUCCAUGAUGAAAACUUAAGGAAAAUGUAUGAGAAGAGCUCCCGCUUCAUGAAGGAAGGAUAUGAACGAGACUUCUUGCGGUACCUGCAGAGUCUUCUAGCCGAGGUGGAGCGCAGGAUUCGGAGGGGCCACGCGCGUCUCGCCCUGUCACAAGCCCAGCAGAACUCUGGGGCACCAGGUCCGUCUGGGAAGAACGAGGAGAAAGCGCAGGUCCUCACAGAGAAGAUUGAAGAGCUUGUUGUUCAGAUUGAAGAGUUGGGCUCGGAGGGCCGUGUUGAGGAGGCACAGGGCAUGAUGAAGCUGGUGGAGCAGCUCAAGGAAGAGCGGGAGCAGCUCAGUUCCACUCCUUCAACGAUUGAGAGCUUUGCGGCUCAGGAGAAGCAGAUGGAGGUGUGUGAAGUGUGUGGCGCUUUCCUCAUAGUCGGUGACGCUCAGUCCAGAGUGGAUGACCAUCUAAUGGGCAAGCAGCAUAUGGGAUAUGCUAAAAUCAAAUCCACAGUGGAGGAACUGAAGGAAAAGUUGCGUCGGCGCUCAGAGGACCCGGAGAAGGAUGACCGAGGGAAGAAGGAGAGGGAGGACCGGGAACGUGAAAGGGAGGAACGCGAGAAAAAACGCAAAGAGGAGGAGGAGAGGGAGAAAGAACGAGAAAAGGAGAGGGAGAGAGAGCGUGAGAAGGAGAGGGAACGUGAGCGGGAGAGGGAUCGGGACAGGGAACGGGAAAGGGACAGGCGCAGCAGGAGGAGUCACUCCAACAGUAGACACUCCAGCCGUGCGUCAGACCGCCGCAGGAGCCGCUCAAGAGACAGGAGGAGGUCCAGAAGUAAGGAACGCGACAGGAAGCGCAGCAGGAGCCGUGACCGAGAGAGGAGGCGCAGCCGGGAACGCUCGGACAGGAAGCGCCGCUCUCGGAGCAGGGAGAGAAGGAGGUCCCGCAGCUCUGAGCGCAAGAGCCACCGGCACCGCAGCAGAGACAGAGAAAAGGACAGAGGAGACAGAGACAAGGACAAAUCCUCUAAGGACAAAGAGCACAAGGACUCCUCAGAUGAGAAAAGGAGCAGCAGAAAGGGCUCGGUUGAGAAGUCAAAUGAGCUCUCCAAGCCCGAGCCCAUGGAGGCCGAGCCUCCCAAAGCGGAAGUGAACGGCACCGCCCAAGAGCUACAUUCUGAAGGUGACACACAGUCCAAUUAAAACUGAUCUGAUAGGACCUCAGAUCAGCCCCAGUGCAUCGUAAGUAUGCACUGAAGAUGGGGACUAGGCUGAUGAAACGGAAGAAAGUAGAAAGAAACAAACCCAGAGGGAAAGGCCAGUGUAGCCCUGAAAAACAUGCUUGGAGGGGGAGUUUGAACAGCUGCAAGAGGAAGAACUGAAGACCUCCAUCCUACAACUCAGCUCUGCUGCUUUAAAACAAGGUGAACCACAGAUGUAGUGGCCUAUAUGAUAAAGAUGUAAAUGUAAAAUGGUUCUGUAGCCCCUUUUCAGCGUUUCCACAGGACCUUCCGUGUUCUUUUUAUUAUGUUUGUUUGGUUUUUCUUUGGUCUUACUGCUAUACGCUGGCAUAGAUGCACAUGCAAGUCCACCAUUAUUUCUGUUAGUAUGCAUUCAGAAUGAAUAAAAUACUUUGUGGCAUGUUUGCUCUGUACAGUCCGCUCUCACUUUUACACAUUGGAAAUAUUGAAGAUCGGUUUAGUUCAGUAUUUUGACUGGAAGCCUUAAAGGUCUCUACACUGCUUUAUCUCUUAUUUUCCCUCUGUAUGCUAAAUCCCAAAUCUUUAUACGAUUUUAGUUUAGUGAAGUGUUUUCAUUUUGUUCCCGUUUUAAAACCUGUAUUUGUCAUGAAUAAAAAUGAAGAAAAAAAUGUGGACAAAUGUUGAUUUUUUUAUUUUUUUUUUUUUUUUUUUUCUCCAAAUGGGAGCAUGUAUCUGAUGUCGUAAAUCCAGAAUUGCAUUUAUACUGCACAAACCUACAGAACAUCAACAGUGGAGACAUUCUUCAUGUAUUUCUGUACUCUGAAUGCAUCUCAAUGUAUGUGAAUUCAGGCUUACCUGGACAGGCAAAUCGUUUCACUCAAUGGCCGCCUGAAGAGGAAUGAUCAAAAUCACCAAAGAUGAAGUUUAAAUACACACAUGCAGACUCAUCACACUGAAACAGGCCAUUGUUGAGUGAAAUAGGCCAUUCAUGUGACUGUCAAAAUUCACAUAUAGCAAAGGAAGAGAAACUGAUUUUGUGUUUGAAAGUGAAUGUGACGUGUAGCCAAAUAUGGUGCCCCAUACUCAGAAUUUAUUCUCUGCAUUUCACACAUCCAAGUACACACCAAGAGCAGUGGGCAGCUAUUUUUUACCGAGUGUCUUUUUUUAAUGGAACACAAGUACUUUUUCUGAUAACUGACUAUAAAUGUCAAGAUGCACUAUAUGAAGUAUUGUGAAUCACCUCUUAAUUAUUGAAUUUAGGUGUUUCAAUCAGACGCAUUGCCACAGGUGUAAAAUAAAGCAUUCCUCAUUUACAAACGUGAAAAAA